Molecule: ribosomal RNA, 253 nt
Filed under: uncultured bacterium
Lineage: Bacteria
Description: partial 16S ribosomal RNA
Rfam family: Bacterial small subunit ribosomal RNA
Source: RNAcentral
UACGGAGGGGACUAGCGUUGUUCGGAAUUACUGGGCUUAAAGCGCACGUAGGCGGUGUCGUAAGUGUCAGGUGAAAUCCCACGGCUCACCCGUGGAACUGCCUGGCAUACUGCGAUGCUCGAGUGUGGUAGGGGAGAGCGGAACUCCUGGUGGAGCGGUGAAAUGCGUAGAUAUCAGGAGGAACACCGGUGGCGAAGGCGGCUCUCUGGUCCACAACUGACGCUGAGGUGCGAAAGCUAGGGGAGCAAACGGG